GACGAACGCUGGCGGCGUGCCUAACACAUGCAAGUCGAGCGAGAAUCUUAUGAAUGAUCCUUCGGGUGAAUGAUUAAGAGGAGAGCGGCGGACGGGUGAGUAACGCGUGAGUAAUCUGCCUUAAGGAGGGGGAUAACACAGAGAAAUCUGUGCUAAUACCGCAUAACAUAUCUUUACCGCAUGAUAGAGAUAUCAAAACUGAGGUGCCUUAAGAUGAGCUCGCGUCCGAUUAACUAGUUGGUGGGGUAAUGGCCACCAAGGUUACGAUCGGUAGCCGGACUGAGAGGUUGAACGGCCACAUUGGAACUGAGAUACGGUCCAGACUCCUACGGGAGGCAGCAGUGGGGGAUAUUGCGCAAUGGGGGAAACCCUGACGCAGCAACGCCGCGUGAAGGAAGAAGGUCUUCGGAUUGUAAACUUUGUCUUUGGGAAGAUAAUGACGGUACCAAAGGAGGAAGCCACGGCUAACUACGUG
This 475-nucleotide ribosomal RNA is filed under the name uncultured bacterium. RNAcentral describes it as "bacterial SSU rRNA". It matches the Rfam family "Bacterial small subunit ribosomal RNA", at positions 28 to 507 of the family's 1533-position model. The record is from RNAcentral.